UGUUGCUGGAACCCUGUGAUGUGGGACUUCCUGCAGCAAUUUUGGGAAAGGCAGCAUGUCUGGGCAGAAGCCAGAAGUUUUGUUCUAGGAGGGUCUGACCCUCUCUUGGAGCCCCCAUCUAAAUAAGUGUUAAAGCCAAGGAAGGAGAGAACACUGGCCUGCUGAUCUGGACUCAAAAGCUGGAAAUACUUGGUGGGGGUCCUUUAGCUCUCUGGUGAGUGAAUAGCCCUGAGUCCCAGUGAACCAGGUGUUGAUGGCUGUUUUGAGACCUUGGUUCUUGUCUUCUUAGUUUAAAAGAAUUUAAACAAGAGACACGGUGCAGCAUUGAGGAGUUUAUUGCAAAGGAAAAAGAAUAUUUUGAAAGUUAAGUGCAGAGUAGACAGUACACCUUGAGAGAAGAGAGAAUUCAGGGUGGGCUGCUCAUAAGAAUGAGGCAGUGUUAGCCGGGCGCGGUGGCUCAUGCCUGUAAUCCAGCACUUUGGGAGGCCGAGGCAGGCAGAUCAUGAGGUCAGGAGAUCAAGACCAUCCUGGAUAACAUGGUAAAACCCCAUCUCUACUAAAAAAAAAAACAAAAACAAACAAAAAAAAACAUUAGCCAGGCAUGGUGGCGGGCGCCUGUAGUCCCAGCUACUUGGGAGGAUGAAGCAGGAGAAUGGCAUGAACCCGGGAGGCGGAGCUUGCAGUGAGCCGAGAUCAUGCCACUGCACUCCAGCCUGGGCGACAGAGCGAGACUCUAUCUUAAAAAACAAAAACAAAAACAAAAACGAAUGAGGCAGUGUUGAUUAUUGCUGGAGAAACUCCCUUUAUAGGAGUUUUACGUGAUUAUUCAUAAGGAGGUGGGAAGAGCUGUUACUAGUAAGCAUGUUUCGGGUGGUCCUCUGGGUGCACAUGAGUAGUAGCUGUACAUGCUUGUUCAUUUGGCACAUGUCUUAUUAGCAUCUUAAAUCUCCACCCAGGAGUGUGUUUUUUACUAUUAUAAUGAGCCAGGGGGUCAGUUUGAGGACAGGAAAAGUCAAAGUGCACAGGCUGUCUAGAUGGGAAGUUCCCUACUGAAGAUAGCUUUGCUUGAAUGAGCUCAGUUAGAAUAUGAAUGCCGAGGCUUAUUGUGUUGACUAUAGGAUCACCAAGGUUGCUGCACUUCCUUGAUUACCUAUCCUGCCUCACUGGGAGGGUGCUUGUGUCCUGCCCAUUCUUUCUUUCCUUCCUGCUUUUGUUGUGUCUGCUUUCCUGUGAUAAUUUAGAAAACAGGAACAAGUUUAUGGCCUCACAGUAGAGCCUUACAUCCAUUGUCCAUCUGUCCUUCCAGUUUCCCUCCAUAUUUCAGAAAAGAUUUAAAAGUGCUUGUAUGUACACUAUGAUAUGAUUGUAGAGCCUAUGGUGGCUGGAAGACCUCACACCAGUCUCAGAAAUCACACCUAACUCCUGUCUUCCCCCAGGUCUCUGCCUUUUCCUACUCUGGGAGCUCAGUAGGCUUCUGGCUACUCCCUUAGCCUGAUUGCAACCCUCUGGUUGCCAUCAGUAGCAGUGCCACCCACUUGGGCUAAUUCAGGAGACCUUGCAAAUGACAGAGGCAAUUCAGCUAAGAGAGGGGAUCUGCAGGGCUUCCCAGAUAGGCCAAAGAGAUGAACCCACUAAGGCUGCUAUGGGACAUCUCUCUGUUCACUUUCUGUUUUAGGGAAUUACAGGGAUUAUGGGGUCAAACUGCAGCCAGGAAGUCUUUAAACAUUAGGAAAUUAGUUUUGACAACCAGAUCAUGUCAGAUCUAGAAAAGUUUACAUAGAGCUGCUAUGGAACUCUCCGUUUUUCUACAUCCCUCCUACCUUCUUAGAGUUAGAAGGGAUCUUAAUAGAUUAACCCUUAAUUUUACAUUGACAUCUAGAAUUUGUAAGCUUAUGCCUAAGGACUCAUAGCAAAUGGACAGUAGCCUAGAGCCUGGUGAGCAUCCCAUUGUACACAUUGAAUAUUAUCCUCUCCCUCCUGCCUCCACUCCCCAUCUUAUUUAUUUAAGUCAGCCAGAUAUCUUUCCUAAGCCUCUGCACUGAGAAGGGCCAGGUGUAUUCUUGAUCCCUGGACUCCUGAGAGAGGCAGAUGUAGCCCAGCAGGAUCAUUGAUCAUGUAAACAAACCACAGCCUUGCCCUCUGUGCAGGGAUGGUGGGAUGCCAUAAGCCACAAAGAGCACUCCCUCCUCCAUCCUCUUUUGUAAGGGAUCAAGGGUCAAGGUUUAGUCCAUGGAGAAUUUUGAUCUAAGGCAGAGGUCAGGAGUUAAGUAAAACUAAGAGCACUCAUAGCCAAAUGGGUGAGCAUUUCAUUGAUGAAGCAGUAACUGGGAGACAGGCUCCAGACCAGUGGCCGUUCCAAGGCUCCUGCCCCCUUCCCCAGGGGGUCCUCUUCCCCAUGACUCCCCUUCCCCAGGCCUUCCUUCUCCAUGGCACCACUACACAUCAAUAUUCCUGGCAAUAUUCUUCAUCAUGGAGACUUCGGCAGUGACUUCAACCAGAUGAAAAGCCCCACCUCAUUCCUGAAUGAUUGAGGUGCUAGAACAUGCUCUUUGUAAACCCCUGAAACAUGGCUUGGAUCAUUCCGUCUCCCACCUCAGCCCCUCCGGAGCUGCCUGGACCUCAUCAUUCCGGAGAGUCUAAGUGGCCUCUUCUCGUGCUCAGCUGCUUACCUGGACCACGUCAUUAUCAUACUUUUGAGUCUGGAUGAAUUUUGUCUUAGGGCGGAGAGCUCACCAGUUCUACUGGUCUUGGAGAACAAGAUUUUCUAAAGGGAAAGGAAGAUUCUUGAACAUAUUGUGAAAGAGAUGUAUAAGCAUCCAGACAGGAAAUGAGGAUAAGUGUUUAUUAAACACAAGUUAUUUCAUACUAGCCUCAUUCUCUCUUUGGAAACCAUUAUUAAACUGGUAGAGUAUGGAAAUCCCUAGAUGUCAUCUACCCGGACUAUUUAAAGUUAUGUUUUAAUCAUGUAAUAAAGGAAUGCAUUCUCAUAUAAAUUAAAA
Long non-coding RNA from Gorilla gorilla gorilla (western lowland gorilla), 2999 nucleotides. RefSeq lists it as uncharacterized. The transcript has 2 exons. Lineage: Eukaryota; Metazoa; Chordata; Mammalia; Primates; Hominidae. The record is from RefSeq and is a predicted model, not a curated record.